AUGGCGGCCGGUGGCUUCGUAGCAGGCGACAGCCGUGUGCAGGAGUACGGCGGCCGCAUGACUUUCUCCGUCGUGGUGACCUCCCUCAUGGCCGCCUCUUGCGGCCUCAUCUUCGGCUAUGACUCUGGCGUCACAGGUGGCGUGACACAAAUGGAAUCGUUCCUGAGCAAGUUCUUCCCGGAAGUGCAGAGCAGAAUGAAGAGCCCGAAGCGUGACGCAUACUGCAAGUACGACAACCAGUGGCUCACCGCCUUUACAUCGUCCUUGUUCAUCGCCGGCACUCUAUCAUCGUUGGUGGCGAGCCGAGUCACGAGGAGUGUGGGCCGCCAGGCAAUCAUGCUGAUUGGCGGUGUCAUGUUCCUUGCCGGCUCGAUCAUCAACGCCGCGGCCGUCAACAUCGCCAUGCUCAUCAUCGGCCGGAUUCUACUCGGUUUUGGUCUUGGGUUCACAUUACAGGCAGCUCCUGUGUACCUCUCUGAGACAGCGCCGGCGCGGUGGCGAGGCGCAUUCACGUCGUCGUACAACACGUUCGUCGUCAUCGGCAUACUGUCCGCUACCAUCACCAACUACUUCACCAACCGCAUCCCUGGCUGGGGAUGGCGCCUCUCCCUCGGCCUAGCAGCCGUUCCGGGCGUCAUCAUCGUCGUGGGAGCCUUCUUCAUCCCGGACACCCCCAGCAGCCUCGUCCUGCGAGGCCAGCCCGACCGAGCCCGCGCGGCGCUGCAGCGUAUCCGCGGAGAUGGCACCAACAUCGAUGCCGAGUUCAAGGACAUCGUCCGCGCCGUGGACGAGGCACGCCGGAACAACGUCGGCUCUUUCCGGAGGCUAUUCAGCAAGCAGUACCGGCACUACCUGGCCGUGGGGCUGGCCAUACCCAUCUUCUUCGAGUUCACCGGCAUGAUCGUCAUCGCCGUAUUCUCGCCUGUGCUGUUCCGCACGGUGGGGUUCAACAGCCAGAAGGCCAUACUUGGUUCUGUGAUAAACAGCAUGACAAACUUGGUAGCCACAGUUCUGUCCACCUUCGUUAUGGACCGCACCGGCCGUAGGUUCCUGCUCAUCGUUGGGGGCAUCGGCAUGAUGUUCUGCGAGGUGGCCAUCUCAUGGGUGAUGGCGGGCCAUCUCGGGAAGCACCAAGGGGUGACGAUGCCGCAUGGCUACGCGACCGCUGUGCUGGUCCUCAUCUGCCUCUGCACGUUCAGCUUCGGUGUGUCGUGGGCACCGCUCAGAUGGGUGGUGCCGAGCGAGAUCUACCCGGUGGAGAUCAGGUCGGCCGGGCAGGCCAUGAGCAUCUCUGUCGCACUGUGUCUCUCCUUCGUGGAGUUGCAGGUGUUCAUCGCGUUGCUCUGCGGCAUGAAGUACGGCGUGUUCCUCUUCUACGCCGGCUGGCUUCUAACAAUGACCAUCUUCGUGGCAGCAUUCCUGCCGGAAACCAAGGGCGUGCCGUUGGAAGCAAUGCAGUCAGUGUGGACGGGACAUUGGUACUGGAGGAGGUUUGUCAAGCAGGAUGCCAACCAUGAAAGCCAAAUCACCAGUGUGUCAGCUAAUUAG
Molecule: ribosomal RNA, 1548 nt
Filed under: Triticum aestivum (bread wheat)
Lineage: Eukaryota; Viridiplantae; Streptophyta; Magnoliopsida; Poales; Poaceae
Description: partial small subunit ribosomal RNA
Source: RNAcentral